Pangasius djambal is the source of this 74-nucleotide non-coding RNA. The record is from the annotation of a GenBank genome assembly. Lineage: Eukaryota; Metazoa; Chordata; Actinopteri; Siluriformes; Pangasiidae.
GGCGGUGGUAGCUUAGUGGUUAAGACAUCCGACUACUGAUCAGAAGGUGAUGAGUUCCAUCCCUGGCAUUGCCA